This 267-nucleotide long non-coding RNA is filed under the name Bos taurus (domestic cattle). Its description in RNAcentral is "long non-coding RNA NONBTAT009168". The record is from RNAcentral. Lineage: Eukaryota; Metazoa; Chordata; Mammalia; Artiodactyla; Bovidae.
CCAUAAGAAGAGCAUUUUUAAGGAGGACCAACCUAUUUUCUUUUGAGGCUUAAGAGAAAACAAAAUCCUCAUCUAGGCUUCUGACACCCUGAAACAGCUUCUUUGGGUGGAGAUGUUAACAUGCUUUGUCAAACAACUACCUUGUGGUUCAGGCCGAUGCCCCCCAAGUCCUCAGCCCCUGCUGUGUGGGUGAACAGUGCUGCCCAGGGCUGAGGCCUAAGCUAUAGGAAGAGGCAAGUGUCCUCCGAAGCUGGGGCCAAACACUGC